RNAcentral lists this transfer RNA (86 nucleotides) under Cristinia sonorae. RNAcentral describes it as "tRNA-Val". The record is from RNAcentral. Lineage: Eukaryota; Fungi; Basidiomycota; Agaricomycetes; Agaricales; Stephanosporaceae.
GGGUCGGUGGCGUAGUUGGUUAUCGCAUCUGUCUAACACAGCAUGUGGCUCACAGAAGGUCCUCAGUUCGAACCUGGGCCGACUCA